UACGUAGGGAGCAAGCGUUGCCCGGAAUCAUUGGGCGUAAAGCGCGCGUAGGCGGCCUCAUAAGUCCGUUGUGAAAGUCAAAGGCUCAACCUUUGAAAGCCGAUGGAUACUGUGAGGCUAGAGUUCGGAAGAGGCGAGUGGAAUUCCUGGUGUAGCGGUGGAAUGCGCAGAUAUCAGGAGGAACACCAAUAGCGAAGGCAGCUCGCUGGGACGAUACUGACGCUAAGGCGCGAAAGCGUGGGGAGCGAACAGG
Molecule: ribosomal RNA, 253 nt
Filed under: uncultured bacterium
Lineage: Bacteria
Description: partial 16S ribosomal RNA
Rfam family: Bacterial small subunit ribosomal RNA
Source: RNAcentral